UACAGAGGUGGCAAGCGUUGUUCGGAAUUACUGGGCGUAAAGGGCGCGUAGGCGGUCUUGCAAGUCCUGUGUGAAAUCCCUCGGCUCAACUGAGGAACUGCACAGGAAACUGCUUGGCUUGAGUUCGGGAGAGGGAAGCGGAAUUCCGGGUGUAGCGGUGAAAUGCGUAGAUAUCGGGAGGAACACCAAUGGCGAAGGCAGCUCGCUGGGACGGUACUGACGCUGAGACGCGAAAGCGUGGGGAGCAAACAGG
Molecule: ribosomal RNA, 253 nt
Filed under: uncultured bacterium
Lineage: Bacteria
Description: partial 16S ribosomal RNA
Rfam family: Bacterial small subunit ribosomal RNA
Source: RNAcentral